UAUAUACUCCCUCCAUCUGAAAUUACUUAUCGCACAAAUGUAUUGAAAUAGGUGUAUCUAGAACUAAAAUAAAUUUAGAUACGUCCAUUUCUGUGAUAAAUAUUUUGGACGGAGGGAGUACUAG
Non-coding RNA from Hordeum vulgare subsp. vulgare (domesticated barley), 124 nucleotides. The record is from Rfam. Lineage: Eukaryota; Viridiplantae; Streptophyta; Magnoliopsida; Poales; Poaceae.